GUGGAAUUAAUAAAAGUUCUACCUAGAACUCUCAUCAUAUUAAUCUCCUCUUCCAGAAUCCCAAUGCCUGUUGAAAGCCCCAGUGGUGCAGGUAGGGGUGAUGAUGUUUUUGACCCAAUGAUUCGUCUGACAAACAAAGACCUUCGUGUCAUGCAGGCCCAGGCAUGGAUCAAAGCUGGCGAGACAUUCAAUGAAGCCGUCUUCACAGACGAAUCAACCAAGGCCCUUGAGCAAUUUGCUCAAAAUUGCUACAGAUAAAAAGGAAGAAGAUCAAGCAAGCCGGGGACCGUUUGAUUUUUGAUGGUAUCAUGGCUCGAGAUUUCUUUGAGGAAGAAAUCAUCAAGAUAUAUUUUUAUUUUACUAGUCAGUUAAGAACAAAUUCUUAUUUUCAAUGACAACCUUGUUCAGGUGCAGAACAACAGAUUUGUACCAAGGGAUUUGAACUUGCAACCUUUCGGCUACUAGCCCAACACUCUAACCACUAGGCUACCCUGCCGCCCCAAAUAUGCUGGACCCUAUGUCAGAUCGAUGUUUCUGGGACCACACUGUUUCUUUCAAGACAAUAACCCAAAACACACUGCAGCCUGGGUUUAUAUUGCAAAUGAGGGCAUAAACUGGGUCAAGAUGCCAGCAGAUAACUUAAUUGCCGCCUGUGGAAACAGAUGUCUCUACACCUUUCAUUAUGCAAGGCUAGGCUGCAAGAUCCAACGCUCAUACUCUGCAGGAGAUUGGAACAGAAUGUCCAUUUCAAUGCACAACAAGACAGGUAACUUAAUUGCCGCCUGUGGAAACGGAUGUCUCUACACCUUUCAUUAUGCAAGGCUAGGCUGCAAGAUCCAACGCUCAUACUCUGCAGUAGUUUACAAAAGAAUGUCAAUUUCAAUGCACAACAAGACAGGUUGAUUAUUUUGGAUUAGCAUCUGAACACUGGAGAAAAAAGUUGAUUUUCCUGGGGCACAAAAAAACACUUAAUUUUGAUUUCAACUUGUUCAACAACAAUUGGAACAGGAACUUGAUAGGAAAAUGCUUUAAUGUUGUUGACAAAAUGUGCUACUAAAUAUAUGUACUGUGGGAUAUGGUGGUGUGUUGCUGUGAUUAGCAUUUCAAUGAGCCUUGUUUGAAUACUCACAUUGAGAGCUUUGAACAGGAG
This 1150-nucleotide long non-coding RNA is filed under the name Salmo salar (Atlantic salmon). Its description in RNAcentral is "lncRNA (ENSSSAG00000105450.1)". The record is from RNAcentral. Lineage: Eukaryota; Metazoa; Chordata; Actinopteri; Salmoniformes; Salmonidae.